CAACCCUCGCGCCCAUCUGGGCUGCGGUGCUGGGGACCGGCCUGCCCUCGCGGCGGCGCCGCCCCCGAAAUACAUUGGCGGUCUCGCUGCAGCCUCCCCUGCGUAGUAGCACACCUCGCACCGGAGCGCAGCGCGGCCACGCCGUUAAACCCCCGACUCUUUGA
RNAcentral lists this unclassified non-coding RNA (164 nucleotides) under uncultured fungus. RNAcentral's name for it is "sequence contains ITS2". RNAcentral also lists the same sequence under 1 other name. The record is from RNAcentral. Lineage: Eukaryota; Fungi.